GAGACACCCUUAUGGGGCAGGACUUGCUUCAGUGGGGCUUUGGUGCUCACUGAGUCUUCCCCUUGAUAUGUUACU
This 75-nucleotide microRNA precursor is filed under the name Myotis lucifugus (little brown bat). RNAcentral describes it as "mir-9229 microRNA precursor family". It matches the Rfam family "mir-9229 microRNA precursor family". Lineage: Eukaryota; Metazoa; Chordata; Mammalia; Chiroptera; Vespertilionidae. The record is from Rfam by way of RNAcentral.